AGGAGCUGGAGGGCUUGCCACAUAUGCUGGAUGAAAAGCCUGGUUGGGGAUACCUGCUGUGUAGGCAGCUGCAAAAGACCUCUGAAGCAAAGGUCUGAGGAAGGGUCAGGUGGCUGCUGGAGACCCCACAGCCCUACUAUACCAUCAUCCUAGGAAAGGAGCAGCAAAGGCGGAUCCUCCAGGCCUGGCUAGAGAGGCUGCAUGAAACCAUCCAAUCAGAGCUCAGCAGCCUCAGGAAAAAAGGAGCUGCAGGGGUUUAGCUGCUCAGUUCCUGGAUAGGACUGGGGAGGAAAAACAUAAGGAUUGGUUGGAACACUGACAAAAGACCACAUCAAAACAAACCCAAGUUUCCUGUGACCCUGUUAGCCUUUUGUAACAGCUGAAUAAAGGCCAAGUGUAUUACAUCAUGAAAGUCCAGAAAGCCCCUCCAACUUCAUGCAGAAGAAAAUGCAGUAUUAAAUUAUGCAAGAGGACUUCAGGAGACCAUUUAGGCUCCAAUUUAGACCAUCUGCUUGUCAAAUGUCUUGUCAGUAUAUAUUCAUAUUAACAAAAUCUUUUUCCAUCAUGAGUGAUGGGUCUGAUGACUGAUCAAGACAAAGAAGUGCCAGUGAUACUGAUGUAUCCCCAAAGGUUCUGCCAGUGAUUAAAUACAAGUUUGAAUUUAGCUGAUGUCAGGGUUGUUGUGACUUUCCAAACCUGGAAAAUAAACACACGCACAGACACACACCUCUCCCUUUCUUCUCCCCCAAAAAGAAGAGACCACUGUGAAAAUGCACCGGUGGCUUAUGAAAUGAAUGCACAAG
This is a long non-coding RNA of Mauremys mutica (yellowpond turtle), 803 nucleotides long. RefSeq lists it as uncharacterized. The transcript has 4 exons. Lineage: Eukaryota; Metazoa; Chordata; Testudines; Geoemydidae. The record is from RefSeq and is a predicted model, not a curated record.